UAGAAGUUAGUCAUUACACUUGGUUGUGCUUCUUCCGGGAGAAUUUCUGUGUAUCUCUUCGUGAGAUGGCUAGUUCAAGUCCUAAGAUGUUUGUUUCUGCAGGGCUUUCAUUCCACUCUGUGGUAGAACAACGUUCCUUCUGAUGAAUAUCUUUACCAUUUGUAGUUGAGCCUCACAUGUAAGUCAGAGCAUGAAAAAUAUGCCUCAUACAAGAGAGGGUUAAAUUAACCUCCGGGUCCAUGAUGAGAUGACGAGUGAGAUUUUGAUUGGAUUUUUCAACUAGGAUGUCUGGAUUCAGGUCUUUCUGUUACCAUUGGUUCUUAGUUCUUAA
This 331-nucleotide long non-coding RNA is filed under the name Solanum tuberosum (potato). Its description in RNAcentral is "long non-coding RNA (STUB_LNC011073)". The record is from RNAcentral. Lineage: Eukaryota; Viridiplantae; Streptophyta; Magnoliopsida; Solanales; Solanaceae.